Molecule: long non-coding RNA, 167 nt
Organism: Capra hircus (goat)
Lineage: Eukaryota; Metazoa; Chordata; Mammalia; Artiodactyla; Bovidae
Exons: 3
Source: RefSeq, a predicted model, not a curated record
CCUGACAAGCUAAUGCAACGGUUGGAUUUAUUCCAUUUCAGGGUUAGACUAAUGGCAAUCGGUGAAAACGUUUUCUGGAAAUCAGGUCAGGAAGGCAAGCGGAUGUGACUAGGAGACGCCAGAGAGAAGCGCUAUUGAAACUUGAAUCCUCAAAGCCUGGUUUGUGG